GGCUAUCGUCGAUCGGCCCUCUUUGCCUCUUCAGAACUUGAAUCCCCAAAUCCAUUCGACAAAAGCAAAAUCCCUAAACCUAAUUCCCAAGGCCACGACGUUGCUUGCACUACCGUCGAAUUCGUAAAGAUGGGCAAAUCUUACUACCGUGAGUGAGCAUUUACUGUUUACAUGCAAGCGAUAGAGGAAACCAAAUGAUGUGGGCAUUUAUAGUGAAUUACUUUUGGAUGGAUGGCGACUAUUUUAUUUCUUCCCCCGUAAUUUACUACAAUAUAGAUAACAUUUAUCACAGCAAUUUGUACACCUCAGAAUUUGUGUCCAACAAUUUUCUUAAAACAGCAACUAAAUAAAAUUUUAAAUUUACACAAA
This is a non-coding RNA of Prunus avium (sweet cherry), 369 nucleotides long. The record is from RefSeq and is a predicted model, not a curated record. Lineage: Eukaryota; Viridiplantae; Streptophyta; Magnoliopsida; Rosales; Rosaceae.